This 254-nucleotide ribosomal RNA is filed under the name uncultured Anaerovorax sp. RNAcentral describes it as "partial 16S ribosomal RNA". It matches the Rfam family "Bacterial small subunit ribosomal RNA", at positions 536 to 791 of the family's 1533-position model. Lineage: Bacteria; Bacillati; Bacillota; Clostridia; Peptostreptococcales; Anaerovoracaceae. The record is from RNAcentral.
AAGCGUUAUCCGGAAUUAUUGGGCGUAAAGAGUGCGUAGGUGGUUCUGUAAGCGCGGGGUGAAAGGCAAUAGCUCAACUAUUGUAAGCCUUGCGAACUGCUGGACUUGAGUGCAGGAGAGGAAAGCGGAAUUCCUAGUGUAGCGGUGAAAUGCGUAGAUAUUAGGAGGAACACCAGUGGCGAAGGCGGCUUUCUGGACUGUAACUGACACUGAGGCACGAAAGCGUGGGGAGCAAACAGGAUUAGAUACCAGGC